UACGUAGGUGGCAAGCGUUGUCCGGAUUUACUGGGCGUAAAGAGCGCGCAGGCGGUCGUUUAAGUCGAAUGUGAAAGCCCCCGGCUCAACUGGGGAGGGUCACGCGAUACUGCUCAACUCGAAGGCAGGAGAGGGAAGUGGAAUUCCCGGUGUAGUGGUGAAAUGCGUAGAUAUCGGGAGGAACACCAGUGGCGAAGGCGACUUCCUGGCCUGUUCUUGACGCUGAGGCGCGAAAGCUAGGGUAGCAAACGGG
This 253-nucleotide ribosomal RNA is filed under the name uncultured bacterium. RNAcentral describes it as "partial 16S ribosomal RNA". It matches the Rfam family "Bacterial small subunit ribosomal RNA", at positions 524 to 776 of the family's 1533-position model. The record is from RNAcentral.